CUGAAACCGUGUACGUACAAGCAGUGGGAGCCUCUUUAUGGGGUGACUGCGUACCUUUUGUAUAAUGGGUCAGCGACUUAUAUUCUGUAGCAAGGUUAACCGAAUAGGGGAGCCGAAGGGAAACCGAGUCUUAACUGGGCGUUAAGUUGCAGGGUAUAGACCCGAAACCCGGUGAUCUAGCCAUGGGCAGGUUGAAGGUUGGGUAACACUAACUGGAGGACCGAACCGACUAAUGUUGAAAAAUUAGCGGAUGACUUGUGGCUGGGGGUGAAAGGCCAAUCAAACCGGGAGAUAGCUGGUUCUCCCCGAAAGCUAUUUAGGUAGCGCCUCGUGAAUUCAUCUCCGGGGGUAGAGCACUGUUUCGGCAAGGGGGUCAUCCCGACUUACCAACCCGAUGCAAACUGCGAAUACCGGAGAAUGUUAUCACGGGAGACACACGGCGGGUGCUAACGUCCGUCGUGAAGAGGGAAACAACCCAGACCGCCAGCUAAGGUCCCAAAGUCAUGGUUAAGUGGGAAACGAUGUGGGAAGGCCCAGACAGCCAGGAUGUUGGCUUAGAAGCAGCCAUCAUUUAAAGAAAGCGUAAUAGCUCACUGGUCGAGUCGGCCUGCGCGGAAGAUGUAACGGGGCUAAACCAUGCAC
RNAcentral lists this ribosomal RNA (642 nucleotides) under Escherichia coli. RNAcentral's name for it is "partial 23S ribosomal RNA". It matches the Rfam family "Bacterial large subunit ribosomal RNA", at positions 550 to 1194 of the family's 2925-position model. Lineage: Bacteria; Pseudomonadati; Pseudomonadota; Gammaproteobacteria; Enterobacterales; Enterobacteriaceae. The record is from RNAcentral.